AGGGAAUAUUGGACAAUGGGCGCAAGCCUGAUCCAGCCAUGCCGCGUGAGUGAAGAAGGCCCUCGGGUUGUAAAGCUCUUUUGUCCGGAAAGAAAAGCAUCGGGUUAAUACCCCGGUGUUCUGACGGUACCGGAAGAAUAAGCACCGGCUAACUUCGUGCCAGCAGCCGCGGUAAUACGAAGGGUGCAAGCGUUACUCGGAAUUACUGGGCGUAAAGCGUGCGUAGGUGGUUGUUUAAGUCUGAUGUGAAAGCCCUGGGCUCAACCUGGGAAUUGCAUUGGAAACUGGGCAGCUAGAGUGCGGUAGAGGGUAGUGGAAUUCCCGGUGUAGCAGUGAAAUGCGUAGAGAUCGGGAGGAACAUCUGUGGCGAAGGCGACUGCCUGGACCAGCACUGACACUGAGGCACGAAAGCGUGGGGAGCAAACA
RNAcentral lists this ribosomal RNA (426 nucleotides) under uncultured bacterium. Its description in RNAcentral is "bacterial SSU rRNA". It matches the Rfam family "Bacterial small subunit ribosomal RNA", at positions 356 to 774 of the family's 1533-position model. The record is from RNAcentral.